RNAcentral lists this long non-coding RNA (817 nucleotides) under Setaria italica (foxtail millet). RNAcentral's name for it is "long non-coding RNA (SITA_LNC007120)". The record is from RNAcentral. Lineage: Eukaryota; Viridiplantae; Streptophyta; Magnoliopsida; Poales; Poaceae.
CGCCCCCUCGUUCCACGCCCCAACCCCUCCACCUCCUCAAUCUUUCUUUCUCUCAGACUAAUCGGCAGUACACAGCGCACAGGUACUCUUCCUCCUCUCCUUCUUCCUUAUCCUCUCUUCCCUCUCUCCUUCUUUCUUAUCCUCUCCUUCUUCCUUAUCCUCUCUUCUUCCUUUUUCCAUGCAGGUGGGCGCCGUCAGCGGUAGGGCGGGGCGGAGCCGAGGUGGCAGGCGGGGCGGCGGAGCCGGCGUGUUGUGGCGCGGGCGAAGUGGAGGUCGCGGGCAGCGGAGCGGACGGCGGCGGCGGUCACGGGCGAUAGGUUAGGGCCGGAGCGGAGGCGGCGCGCGGGCAGGGUGGGGCGGCGGCGGAGCGAAGGGCGUGGGCGGUGGAGCAGAGGGGCAAAGUUGGUGUAGAGGGCGCCGGCGGGCGAAGCAGAGGGCGGCGGCGGGCGGCCGGUCCAGCAGCAGCCGAGCGGCAGCGCGGGCGCGGCCAGACGGAAGGCAUGGCACUUUUUUUUAUUUUUUUCAAAAAUUUUUAGUCCCGGUUGGUAACACCAACCGGGACUAAUGAGACCCUCUAGUCCCGGGUGGAUGACCCGGGACUAAAGGAUCCCUUUUUGUCUCGAACAUUUAAUCUUGGAUGGUUUUUAGGGAGAUUUGACUCAUACCAACCGGGACUGAAGGUCAGUUUUCUACCAGUGGCUACUAUGGUAAUGGCCAAGCUUUUUUGCAUCACAUAAUGCACCUUCAAGUGUUCCUCGUAUCACAUCUUUGCCCUACUACGUCCUGAUGCCCGGUCAAAUCUCACUUUCUUUUUUUU